This 2095-nucleotide ribosomal RNA is filed under the name human gut metagenome. RNAcentral describes it as "bacterial LSU rRNA". It matches the Rfam family "Bacterial large subunit ribosomal RNA", at positions 955 to 2925 of the family's 2925-position model. The record is from RNAcentral.
UCCGAAUACCGUUGACGUGUAUUCCGGCAGUGAGUCGGCGGGGGAUAAGCUCCGUCGUCGAGAGGGAGACAGCCCAGACCGUCGUCUAAGGUCCCGAAGCGUGUGCUAAGUGGGAAAGGAUGUGGAGUCGCAUAGACAGCCAGGAGGUUGGCUCAGAAGCAGCCAUCCUUGAAAGAGUGCGUAACAGCUCACUGGUCUAGUGGUUCCGCGCCGACAAUGUAGCGGGGCUCAAGCACACCACCGAAGACGCGGCAGCAAUCUUCAUGGUUGCUGGGUAGGAGAGCGUCCUGCGAGGGGCGAAGCGGCCGGGUAACCGUGCCGUGGACUUCGUGGGAGUGAGAAUGCAGACAUGAGUAGCGAGAGACGGGUGAGGAUCCCGUCCGCUGGAUGACCAAGGGUUCCGGGGCCACGUUCGUCGUCCCCGGGUGAGUCGGGUCCUAAGGCGAGGCCGACAGGCGUAGUCGAAUGGAUGAACGGGUCGAUAUUCCCGUACCGGCUUUCAGCCGCCAAAACCGAGGCUUGGAGUACUAACCUCCGGGUCCGGGCUUACUGCUCCUUCGGGGGCGGGAUGCCCUGGCCUGUUGGGACCGAUCCUUGUAGUAGGUCAGCGCAGGAGUGACGCAGAAGGGUAGCCGGCCGCGGAGGUGGUCUUCCGUGGUCAAGCACGCAGGGCGUGGGACAGGCAAAUCCGUCCCGCAUGGGUCCGAGGUGCGAUGAUGGGGGCCUUAUGGCCCGAUAUCCGGUGAUCCCGGCUGCCGAGAAAAGCUUCGGCGUCAGGCUCGAAGCCGCCCGUACCCCAAACCGACACUGGUGGUCAGGUAGAGAAUACCAAGGCGAUCGAGCGAAUCCUGGUCAAGGAACUCGGCAAAUCACUCCCGUGCCUUCGGUAUAAGGGAGACCCGCUGGGGUGAACCGGCUAGCCCGGGGAGCUUUGGUGGGUGGCACAGACCAGGGGGUAGCGACUGUUUACCAAAAACACAGGUGCAUGCGAAGGCGAAAGCCGCUGUAUAUGCACUGACGCCUGCCCGGUGCCGGAAGGUUAAGAGGAUCCGUCAAUCCCUUCGGGGACGAAGCGGUGAAUUCAAGCCCCGGUAAACGGCGGUGGUAACUAUAACCAUCCUAAGGUAGCGAAAUUCCUUGUCGGGUAAGUUCCGACCUGCACGAAUGGCGUAACGACUUCCCCACUGUCUCGACCAGGAGCUCGGCGAAAUUGCAGUACGAGUAAAGAUGCUCGUUAAGCGCAGAAGGACGAAAAGACCCCGGGACCUUUACUAUACCUUGGUAUUGGCGUUAGGCGCGGAUUGUGUAGCAUAGGCGGGAGGCUUCGAAGCGUGGGCGCCAGCUCAUGUGGAGCCGCAAGGUGAAAUACCGCUCUGUUCUCGUUUGACGUCUAACCUCGACAAGUCAUCCUUGUCAGGGACAGUGCCUGGCGGGUAGUUUAACUGGGGCGGUUGCCUCCCAAAGAGUAACGGAGGCGCCCAAAGGUCCGCUCAGCCCGGUUGGCAAUCGGGUGGCGAGUGCAAGUGCACAAGCGGGCUUGACUGCGAGGACGACGGUCCGAGCAGGGACGAAAGUCGGAGAUAGUGAUCCGGUGCCGGCGCACGGGCGCGGCAUCGCUCAACGGAUAAAAGGUACCCCGGGGAUAACAGGCUGAUCAUUCCCAAGAGUCCAUAUCGACGGGAUGGUUUGGCACCUCGAUGUCGGCUCGUCGCAUCCUGGGGCUGGAGCAGGUCCCAAGGGUUCGGCUGUUCGCCGAUUAAAGCGGCACGCGAGCUGGGUUCAGAACGUCGUGAGACAGUUUGGUCUCUAUCCUCUGCGCUCGUUGGAAUCCUGAGGAGGCCUGCCCAUAGUACGAGAGGACCUGGGUGGACGAACCUCUGGUAUGCCGGUUGUCGCGCCAGCGGCACGGCCGGUUGGCUACGUUCGGGAGGGAUAACCGCUGAAAGCAUCUAAGCGGGAAGCCUGCUCCAAGAUUAGGAUUCCAUGGAUCUUCGAGAUCCUGUAGCCCGCAUGUUGAACACGUGUUUGAUAGGCCGGAGGUGGAAGUCCCGUGAGGGGUGGAGCCGACCGGUACUAACGGGCGACGGCGACAUAA